UCAACGAGGGUAGAGAAAGGCAAAGAAGAUGAUCUACUAAUAUAUAUAUAUAUAUAUAUAUAUAUGUAUGUAUGUAUGUAUGUGUGUGUGAAUACUCUUUUGUUAUACUCUAGCUUCUUUAUUCUUUAGUAUCUCGUGAAAUUCUCUAUUUUCAAUUGUCUCCAGUGCGGCUUUUAUCUACGCAGCAGGAGCUCAACGAGGCCUCUGAUCACUUUUACGAAUAUACCUGACUUUCAAAAAAUCAAGAAAAACACAAAACUUAUCUACAAAGAUAUCCGACGAUCACCUAUGGUUGAUGCUAAAAGACGUCUUCUACCAAUGACAUUUGAUGUUCCUACUAAACGAGUCGAGGAGAGCGUUAGAUAUUGAAGAAGGAGAUUCGAAGCCUGUUGCCAAAAGAUAGUAUAAAAGAGCACUACCUUCAUAAAUAUAGCGCUAAAAAUAAUAUUUUAGAUAUGAAGGUUCUGGAUUUUGCUGCCCAAACAAAGAGCCGUUUCUCAGUUAGAAUUGGAGUUGGGGAGGCAUGAGCAUGAUAAACAAAAUAACGAGGAAUUUUUUUAUAACGUGAGGAAUUUAUAGUGUUAACUGGGGAAACACCAUUCAUUAUCUUCUUCAUGGCUGUCAUCAUAAGCAUCCCAUGGAUGGUGUACUGCUUGUUUUCCCCCCUGCUGCAACGGCUGUUCUGCUUGUUACCGGUAUGUUGGAUUUCAUAUCUUCGCUGUCUUAUAUUACUUGAGAACCUUGGUUUUUAUUUUAUUGUAUAAUUUCACACAAAUCUAAAGAUCUCAAUUUUUAUAGUUAUCUAAAAUCAUUUACUUAAUUUCUAAUUACGUGAUUUUGUUUAUGUUGCAUAUCGGCAUAAUUCAUCGACUAUAUCUUUUCGAAAAUACUAGGAG
Long non-coding RNA from Lycium barbarum (goji berry), 896 nucleotides. RefSeq lists it as uncharacterized. The record is from RefSeq and is a predicted model, not a curated record. Lineage: Eukaryota; Viridiplantae; Streptophyta; Magnoliopsida; Solanales; Solanaceae. The transcript has 3 exons.